Molecule: ribosomal RNA, 450 nt
Filed under: uncultured Glomus
Lineage: Eukaryota; Fungi; Glomeromycota; Glomeromycetes; Glomerales; Glomeraceae
Description: SSU rRNA
Rfam family: Eukaryotic small subunit ribosomal RNA
Source: RNAcentral
AGCAGCCGCGGUAAUUCCAGCUCCAAUAGCGUAUAUUAAAGUUGUUGCAGUUAAAAAGCUCGUAGUUGAAUUUCGGAAUCAAUGGAUCGGUCAUGCCACUCGGUGUGUACUGGUUUGAUUGGUUCUCACCUUCUAAGGAACCGUGAUGUCAUUAAUUUGGUGUCGCGGGGAAUUAGGACUGUUACCUUGAAAAAUUAGAGUGUUUAAAGCAAGCUCACGCUUGAAUACAUUAGCAUGGAAUAAUGAAAUAGGACAUUGUAUUCUAUUUUGUUGGUUUCUAGGAUCGAUGUAAUGAUUAAUAGGGAUAGUUGGGGGCAUUAGUAUUCAAUUGUCAGAGGUGAAAUUCUUGGAUUUAUUGAAGACUAACUACUGCGAAAGCAUUUGCCAAGGAUGUUUUCAUUAAUCAAGAACGAAAGUUAGGGGAUCGAAGACGAUCAGAUACCGUCGUAG